Molecule: ribosomal RNA, 285 nt
Filed under: Rhyncogonus pulvereus
Lineage: Eukaryota; Metazoa; Arthropoda; Insecta; Coleoptera; Curculionidae
Description: partial 12S ribosomal RNA
Source: RNAcentral
UAGUAGUAGUUAUGUUCUUGAAAAUUAAAAAAGUUGGCGGUAUUUUAGUCUAUUUAGAGGAACCUGUCCUAUAAUCGAUAAUCCACGAUUUGAUUUACUUAUUAUUUAAGUUUGCAUAUCGCCGUAGAUUGAAUAUUUUUAAAGAAGGUUAAUGUUCAAUAAGUUUAUAAGAAAAAAAUUCAGGUCAAGAUGUAGCGUAUGAAUGAGAAGAGAUGGGUUACAAUAAAUUGAUUUAUAAUGAAUAAAUGAAUUUAAUUUUAUUUUGAAGGUGGAUUUAAAGGUAAU